AGUCGAACGAAGCGCUUAAGAAUGAUCCUUCGGAUGAAUUCUUUUGUGACUUAGUGGCGGACGGGUGAGUAACGCGUGGGUAACCUGCCUCACACAGGGGGAUAACAGUUGGAAACGACCGCUAAUACCGCAUAACCCGCUAGGGCCGCAUGGCCCGGACGGAAAAGAUUUAUCGGUGUGAGAUGGACCCGCGUUGGAUUAGCUAGUUGGCAGGGUAACGGCCUACCAAGGCGACGAUCCAUAGCCGGCCUGAGAGGGUGAACGGCCACAUUGGGACUGAGACACGGCCCAAACUCCUACGGGAGGCAGCAGUGGGGAAUAUUGCACAAUGGGGGAAACCCUGAUGCAGCGACGCCGCGUGAGUGAAGAAGUAUUUCGGUAUGUAAAGCUCUAUCAGCAGGGAAGAAAAUGACGGUACCUGACUAAGAAGCCCCGGCUAACUACGUGCCAGCAGCCGCGGUAAUACGUAGGGGGCAAGCGUUAUCCGGAUUUACUGGGUGUAAAGGGAGCGUAGACGGUUAAGCAAGUCAGAAGUGAAAGGCUGGGGCUCAACCCCGGGACUGCUUUUGAAACUGUUUAACUAGAGUGCUGGAGAGGUAAGCGGAAUUCCUAGUGUAGCGGUGAAAUGCGUAGAUAUUAGGAGGAACACCAGUGGCGAAGGCGGCUUACUGGACAGUAACUGACGUUGAGGCUCGAAAGCGUGGG
Molecule: ribosomal RNA, 705 nt
Filed under: uncultured bacterium
Lineage: Bacteria
Description: bacterial SSU rRNA
Rfam family: Bacterial small subunit ribosomal RNA
Source: RNAcentral